AUUGAACGCUGGCGGCAGGCCUAACACAUGCAAGUCGAACGGUAACAGGAAGAAGCUUGCUUCUUUGCUGACGAGUGGCGGGCGGGUGAGUAAUGUCUGGGAAACUGCCUGAUGGAGGGGGAUAACUACUGGAAACGGUAGCUACUACCGCAUAACGUCGCAAGACCAAAGAGGGGGACCUUCGGGCCUCUUGCCAUCGGAUGUGCCCAGAUGGGAUUAGCUAGUAGGUGGGGUAACGGCUCACCUAGGCGACGAUCCCUAGCUGGUCUGAGAGGAUGACCAGCCACACUGGAACUGAGACACGGUCCAGACUCCUACGGGAGGCAGCAGUGGGGAAUAUUGCACAAUGGGCGCAAGCCUGAUGCAGCCAUGCCGCGUGUAUGAAGAAGGCCUUCGGGUUGUAAAGUACUUUCAGCGGGGAGGAAGGGAGUAAAGUUAAUACCUUUGCUCAUUGACGUUACCCGCAGAAGAAGCACCGGCUAACUCCGUG
Molecule: ribosomal RNA, 490 nt
Filed under: uncultured bacterium
Lineage: Bacteria
Description: partial 16S ribosomal RNA
Rfam family: Bacterial small subunit ribosomal RNA
Source: RNAcentral